UACGGGGGGGGCAAGCGUUGUUCGGAAUUACUGGGCGUAAAGCGCACGUAGGCGGCUUUGUAAGUUAGAGGUGAAAGCCCAGAGCUCAACUCUGGAACUGCCUUUAAGACUGCAUCGCUUGAAUCAUGGAGAGGUCAGUGGAAUUCCGAGUGUAGAGGUGAAAUUCGUAGAUAUUCGGAAGAACACCAGUGGCGAAGGCGACUGACUGGACAUGUAUUGACGCUGAGGUGCGAAAGCGUGGGGAGCAAACAGG
RNAcentral lists this ribosomal RNA (253 nucleotides) under uncultured bacterium. RNAcentral describes it as "partial 16S ribosomal RNA". It matches the Rfam family "Bacterial small subunit ribosomal RNA", at positions 524 to 776 of the family's 1533-position model. The record is from RNAcentral.